Molecule: ribosomal RNA, 131 nt
Filed under: Microbacterium sp. 77mftsu3.1
Lineage: Bacteria; Bacillati; Actinomycetota; Actinomycetes; Micrococcales; Microbacteriaceae
Description: partial 16S rRNA. Bacterial SSU
Rfam family: Bacterial small subunit ribosomal RNA
Source: RNAcentral
CUUUUACGGAGAGUUUGAUCCUGGCUCAGGAUGAACGCUGGCGGCGUGCUUAACACAUGCAAGUCGAACGGUGAAGCAGAGCUUGCUCUGUGGAUCAGUGGCGAACGGGUGAGUAACACGUGAGCAACCUG